Molecule: non-coding RNA, 736 nt
Filed under: Chalcophora japonica
Lineage: Eukaryota; Metazoa; Arthropoda; Insecta; Coleoptera; Buprestidae
Source: RNAcentral
UUCUUUGAUGUGCAUGUGAGCUUUUGCUUUGAACGCUUUAAAAAGGGUUUUAUUGUUGCAGCACUUAACAUUAGAUUAUUUAUUUGGGUAAGAUCUAGCUUUAGAAAAUUGUUCUGACUAAAUUUGUGCCAGCAGUUGCGGUUACACAAAUAGGGCUUUCAAAUCUAGUUGGAUUUAUAGUUAAUUGUAUUUAGCUUUAAUGUAGUUGGACCUAUUUUGGUGAAAUAUUUAGGUUUAUGAUCAUAUUUAGAAAUGUUUUGAGGCUAUUAAAUUCUUGCUUUAGACUAGGAUUAGAUACCCUAUUAUUUUGAAUGUAAAUUUGAUUUCCAGGUUAGUAGUAGUUAUUUUCUUGAAAACUAAAGAAUUUGGCGGUAUUUUAGUCUUUUCAGAGGAACCUGUCCCGUGAUUGAUAGUCCACGAUUGAUUCUACUCCUUUAAAUUAGUUUGUAUAUCGUCGUAGUUGAGUAUUUUAUUAGGAGGGUAAUGCUCGUAAUAUUUAAUUUAGAUAAAAAAUCAGAUCAAGAUACAGUUUAUAAGGGAGAGGAGAUGGGUUACAAUAAAUAGAUUUAUUACAGAUUGAAAAAGGAAGUUUUUCAUGAAGGUGGAUUUGAAAGUAAAUUUUUUUACUUAAUUAAAUUGAUUAAGCUCUAAGAUAUGCACAUAUCGCCCGUCGCUUUCAUUUAAGGUGAAAUAAGUCGUAACAGAGUAGGUGUACUGGAAAGUGCACCUAGAACGU